AUACUCACCUGGCAGGGGAGAUGCCACAUCACGAAGGUGGUUUUCCCAGGGCGGGGCUUAUGCCUUGCACUCCAGGUGUGCUGACCCCUGCGGUUUCCCCAAAUGCGGGAGACGCAACUGCAUAUUUGUGGUAGUAGAGGACUGCGUUCAAGCUCCCCUGGC
This is a small nuclear RNA of Molossus molossus (Pallas's mastiff bat), 162 nucleotides long. RefSeq annotates it as U1 spliceosomal RNA. The transcript has a single exon. The record is from RefSeq and is a predicted model, not a curated record. Lineage: Eukaryota; Metazoa; Chordata; Mammalia; Chiroptera; Molossidae.